UUUACAAAAUGAUUGAUUCUAUUCUAUUCUAUUUUCCUAGAAAUAUUGGAUUAUUGGAGAUGCUAAAUUUACAAACAAAACAUUUAAUAGAAUCACUAAGCAAUAUCUUAAUUGAAGUUUUUAGGAGUGUAUUACUGUCCAUGGAUUUGCGAUUUUGAAGAGAUCUCUUCCAUAUAACAAUUUAGAUGGGAUAAUUUUUUGUGACUAUACAUGACUUUUUGACUUGGACUUCUGACUGCAACACAGACUUGAUUUUUAUUUUGUUUCAUUUAUUUAACUUAAUCAUACUCUGUGAAAGUCUCAUUUAACAAACAGAAACAAACAGAUGUUUCUUUCUAAGAGUUAUAGAAGGUGCUACUGAAUUCAGUGUACAUACAGUAUAUAGUUUUGUUCUUCUUUUGGGGAUUUUUUUGAUUGUUUUAUAUGCUUUUGUUUGUUUUAACCUCAGAUUAUCUGCAGUAAAAUGAGUUUUCUAAUGAGAUGCUUUAUACAGAUGUUUGAAGGACCACGGUAUACAAUUAUUUCUGUUCUUGUCAUUUUCAAUCCAUAUCAUCUUUGUGAAAUCAGGUUUUGAUGAAGGGUGAACCUGGGUUAAUCCAGGUACACAUGCUACAGUAACAUCUCUUUUCUUUUUAGCACAAUUGACUCAUGGGUUAAAUCCAUGUAUCAAAAGAGAGGAGGUCGAAAUAUUUGUUUGUGAUUUUUACAUUUUUUGUGUUUUGAAAGUGGUUCUGAUUUCUCAUCCAAUAUUAAGAGUUGAAAAAGACUGAAUAUCAUUGAUGUUAACCUAGACAAUUUCUUCUGAGAAUGAUAGCGUUGGUUUCUAGAUGACAAUCAAAACUGGAUUAAAAAUACAUUCAAAUCAAAUUAAAUCUUAAAAUUGGGGCCAAUGACACAAAUGCAAAUAUACGAAGCCACAUUAUCAAUCAGUCAAAAACAUAAAAUAAAAAUAAGUCUCAAGGUACUGUUUACCAGGAACUAUUUAACACCUGUAACCUCCAAAGCAAAGGUUUGAAAAGGUGAAUGAUUAGAUCCUUCAAAAUGAUUGGUUUUGAAGUAAACAGAAGUCUAUUGUUUAUUGAUGUUCAUUUUAUUCAAAUUCCUUAAAAAUGCAUUUUUAUAAUGUUUGACUACAGUAACAACAUGGUUACUGGAGACUGGAGACUAUUCCACAAUAGCUUUUAGAACAGUUUUUGCUUUUACUUUGAACAUGUUUUAUAUUUUAUGAAACGUUUCCUGUUUCACACUGUAAGAAACUGUUCUUCUAUUUCUAUUUUUCUAACACUAACACUUACUAACACUAACAUCUAACUAUCAUCAGCUGCUACUGCUUUGUGUCAUUGAUGAUGUCAUUUAUGUCCAGGGUGUAACAGGGUGCUUUUAGUUUUCUUGUUACAGUUUUAUACUUUUAAGCUUCCCUUGACGAUUCUCCCCCUGAAAGCAGGAGAUGACCUGACCUACUGUUUUGGACCACAGAUGACUAGAAAGUUGAUGAAAGCGUCAUCAGCGAUGCUUCUGCUAGGGCGGAAUUGCUGACUGUGGAAGUCAGUGGAACAUCAACUUCAACUGCUUAAAUGUCUACAGAGUGGGAAACAAAUCAACAUAAAAACAACGAAGGACAACAGAGAUGGAAUUAACAGAAGAGCAGCAUCGGAAACUCCUUAAACAGAACGGGUUUAAGGAAUCUUCUUGUGAGUAGGGAAACCAUGUUUCCCUCUAUAAAUGUAGACGAGCAACAACAGAACAUCAAUGACUUAAAAGGGAGACACACAGUAAAUGGACAAUAACUUCAAAUGUUGACAAUAAUUUCCCUUGUUUGUAUGUUUGACACUUAGUGUCAAAAAGGGAGGAAUGUGGGAUAUUUUGUGUUUGUCAUGAGAGGCUGUGCCUCUGGUUGAGGGUUGUUCCUGGGGGGUCAUCAAGCAUUUGGUUAUCAAAUGGUGGAGUUUUCACUGUAGUGACCACGGGAACAUGCACUCAUGUAUAUCAAAGACCAGUCAACAGCUCAUGUGGGGGUUUGUAACAGGGUAUAAAUACAGGUCUUGUGUCCUCAGUCCUUCAGUGGAUAGAUUGUACAUAGUGAGAUGUGCCUUAUGUCUUAGAUGUAAUUGUGAUCCACUCCGUGUCGACAUGAGAGUAAACUUUGAGAUGGUUCAUCACACUGAUGAUCUCUGGUUGAUUUCUUUAUAAGAAGAUUUCCACAACACACAUCACACUAGUGAUGGGAAGUCCGGCUCUUUUUACAGAUUCGGCUCUUUUGGCUUGGCUCUCUUUAAUGAGCCGCCACUUGUGGCUCCCAGUCUGCUCUUAAAUUAUUAUCACUUUGCACCUUAAAUUUUAGCUGAAUUUAGCAAUUAUAAAUAGUUUGUCUGUUUCAUAAGCCUUUUUAUUUUUUUAUUUUUUUUUUUAUUAUUUAUUUUAAUGCAGUUUUUAAAAUGCAAUAAAAAAAAUACACAGUCACUUCUGUUUAACAUUUUAAUCAAACCUUUGGGUAUUAACAUUAAAACACUUUAAAUAAUAAUGUUUAGUGGAGGUUGACAGAUAUUUUUAUUUUAAUAAUAUUUUAUCUAAUAACAGUUAAGUCUGCACUCAGGUUUGCCGUCUCCAGUUUCAUUGAAAUGCACCCUGAUGCUGCUUCUUAUUCGGUUGUCGGUCGGUUGUUGGAAAAAAUGGUGCGCCCAUAAAAGCAGUCCCCCGUUUGUAUGGAUUUUCAGAAGAAUCGGACAAUGGCGGCGGAAGAUUUGCAGUCGUCUCUUCUCGUUUGCUACGAAGCAUCGGCUCUUUGGUGAACGACGCAUCACUGCAGGUACAUGACACCCAAGGACACACCCUACCUGCUGGCAGUGGAACUGUUACACAACAACCCCGCAACAGUGAGGAGGAGCCGAGGGCGCGUUCACAGCGACUCAUCUACAGGUGGGAGCAGAAACAUCCGCUUUGUUCAUUUAGAAGUUGAACAGCUCCAGCUUCUUCUGCAGCUGCACAACAGACAGGGCUGAAAAACAGAAGAAGAGUCAUUUAUGGAUGGAGAAAAAGCUGAGUAGAUAAGAAAAACAACGGAAGCAGCAGAGGAAGAUGAGGAAAAGGAAGAGAAACCAUCAUCCUCUGCUUUCAUUCCCAAGUGGCCUGGCAUGAGGACCCACCAUCGCCCCUUCAUUUCUGUGGAAAAUCACCACAGACUGAGCAGAUGCAAUGAGCUGACACGCAGCUCUGGAUCCCACACGGUCUCAAGACGGUUUGGACACAUCUUUAAAAUAACAAGAAGAACACGGCACACCAGGAACUAAACUAAAGAUGUUCAUAAUACAGCUGGAUUCUAGGUAACUCCAGAGAAAGAAACUGUGGGAGCCUCAACGAGGACACACAGGAUUUAAAAAAACUGUCUAAAGCCUGAUUUCUUGUGUUCUACAUCAGCCUUCAGAAAACAACUUGAGCAGAGUAAAGUCCAUGCCCUGAACGGGUGAAAAGUUGACCCAUUCAUUGGAAAAGCUCACCAACGGUUAAAUGAACCCGGUCAAAGUACCGGUUUUAUGAGAAAUGGCCUCUAAUCCAAGACAAAGGGGGAGCGGGGAUCUUCAACCUCUGUUUUUUGAUUUGAGAAUUCAUGUACAGUCAUUUCUGAAACAGUCUAAUGACAAAGAAACAACCAACUGUCACAAGGUUUGUGCUGUUCAUUUCUGCUCCUAUUAAUUCAUUUAAUAAAAGCUUCAGGAGACACGGCUCAGCUGUAAACUGGAAGAACGUUGACUUCAGGUGAACCACAGGCGACAUGUGCUGUUUGUCAUUUAACUAUGUUCCAUACUUUUAAUCCAACAACAGUAAUAGUAAUAAUAACAGGUUGUAAAAGGCGUCUGACGGACUUUUUUUGAUUGAACACUGUUUAUAUAGAGUAGAUCAGCUUAAUAACAGCUUUACUCCAUGUGUUAGAACGUGGGGAGCGAGGCCUGUACAGGUGACAUCCAAACGACUGGUGCCUUUUUCAGUGAGUGAACACUGAGACUCCCCCUGAAUAAAAAGCCUUAAAGUGUCUCAGCAAGUGUUGGCUGGAUAAAAGAGAAUUCAGGUCCAACAGCUGGACUGAAACCCAGAGGUGGCUGAAAAAGACUCUCUGCUCUCUAAGACAGGACGCGUCGCCACGGCGACCUUGUCUGUGACCUGUAAUUCCAUCAGCGCCGCCGUUUGUUUGUAGCAGCACCUGGAGAAAAACACAUUCUGCAGCGAGAUGAAAUGCUGAAACAUUUAGAACGUAACAGGACGUAGCUGAAGAACUGACUGUACAGAUACACCUGAAGAGACGCAUGUUCUCAUUACUGUCCUGUAAACAAGAUUCAAAUAACAAUACUGUCAGUGCUCUUCAGCAUUCAGUUAUUAAUGACCUGAAUAUCUGGUUAUUAAAACCAGAAGAACAGACGUCUAUAGAGAAGAAGCUGAAGAGAAACGGAAGCAGCGGCGGAAGAGGAGGAAACGAUUAUCCUUUACUUUUAUUCCCCACCAUCACCAUCACAUUUGAGCCACAAACAAUCAUGGCUUUUACAGUCUUUCACGCAUGGGACUCAGUCAGUGACUUCACAUGUGACCGGCAGCGGUCAGAACACGUUUAACGCGUGCGAUCGGAGAGGGUUUGUUCUAUGCGGUCAGUUACUAUUACAGGAAACACAGUAAUCACUACAUCUGAGGAGUGUGGACGGUGCGUCUUUAUUGAAAAAAGUCCCACUGAAAACGUCCUCGCGUCCUCUUAUUGAGAAACACUGCUAUAGACUGAGCAGAAGCAGUGGACAGGAAACGCAGCUCUGGAUUCCACACGGUCCCAAGACAGGCUAGACAAGAAACACAUGGUUUAAGUAACAAGAAGAACACGGAAAACCAGUAACUAAACUCAUAAAUACGACUGGACUCGUAUUGGACUGGACUCAAAGCAGCAGAACUAAGAGGACCUGAAUUGUGUCCAAAUAAAUUUUUAAAUCUUCUGUUCUACACGUUUAACAUCUGCCUUCAGAAAACCUGAGCACAAUAACGUUCAUGUCCUGAACAGGUGAAAACUGACCCAUCCGUUGGAGGAGCUCACAGACCAACUGCUAAAUGAACUCUAAAAGAGCUAGUUUCUGAUAAGUAAUGGCCUCUGAACUAAGUGAAAGAAGGAGCAGCAAGGAACCUCCACUAAUCUUCCUUUCUGAGGAAGAUUCUGAGGAAGAUUCUAAGCAAGUAAUCUUCCUUUCUGAGGAAGAUUUUGAGGUAGAUUUUACGCACGUUUAUGCUCUCAGACGUGAGAGCUCUGAAACGUAUUACAGUCUUAGCUCUGACAGUCCAAUAGCCAACCUUGAAUGUGUAGUUGGGGAAACAGAAGAUUACAUUAAGAUAAGGAAAGUGUACACAAAAAAAGAGAGAUUACUAUUCGCUGCUGCAGGGUUGGGACUAGUCCUUAAACUGGCCUCUGGACCAACUGGAGGUUACCCUUUUACAGCCGGAGUCACUAUAAAAGUUAUUAGAGCUCUAGGUGUUUUUAUCACAAAUACUGUAAAGUCAAUAUAUGAUUAUUUGUGAAGUUAAAAUGAAUUUCUGGUGAAACCACUGGUUGAUGAGCGACGGCCUGGUGUCAAAUAUCAUUAAUAUAAAAGAUAUUUGUACAUUUUUUUGUUUUGUUUUUUUGAAUUUUUUGUUUGCUAUGAACAAAAUGCUAUGAGCAAAAAUGUGCAUUUGUUUAAACCUGUAUUGACACUAACGAUAAAUGUUGGUUAGGGACUGAGCAACAACAGUUAAGUGUAAACAUACCAGUGACCUUGUGUUUGUGUUUUAUGGGUCAGACCUCAGGAUGAUUUGCAUCUUUCUAAUCCUACAUCUCAACUCAGCCUCAUUAUCUCUUGUCUGUGGAAACACAGAAGAUGAUAAUGAUGGUAAAGUGUUUGUAUUAAGAAUCCUCAGACUUCAGGUACAAGUCAGAGUCCUGUCAUCUCCACAGGUUCUCUGAUUAUGAGAACUUGUGCUGAAACCAAGCAACUCUGUUAAGUUAACAAUCGGUGCAAAAUGAAUAAGCGGGGAUGAACCUCCCAACCUUGAUAUUAGCAGCAUCACACUCUAACCAGAAGAAGUCGUCAGCUGUGAACAAGAGGCUCAGAGCAGGAUGUACUUCCUCAGGUCCUUCAGGUCUGCAGCUCCAUGCUGGGAAUGAGCAGAGGUGGACAAACAGUCAGUUGAUGUUUGAUGAUUAAGAUGAUUAUUAAUAAUACAACAGUCUGACUAUGUUUGAAUGAUUAGUAAUUUUUAAUACACGUAAUAGUUUGUGAACUUGUAAUCAGGGUGAAAUAAAGUUUAGUGUUUGAGUGCAGGAUUCAGGUGCAGGUCUUGCAAAUAUGAGUGCUCAAGCUACAAGUUUGAAAUGUUGUGGGCAAAUUGAAGUUUAAUGAACCAGUGUCAUUGGAAAGUACGAGAACGGCCAAAAGAGGACAGAAAACGCUGUUGAUCAAAGUGAGACAAGGAAUAGAUCACGUGUACAUGAUGUGUUGUCAUUGGUGAUGUGGAUCACGCUGUAAAGGGACCAGUCAGAUGAUGGGACGUGUAAAAGGUGAUAGUAAAAACGUUAAACUAAGCACGAUGGGCAGAAAAUGUGGAUAAAACCCCAGGUUUUGUCUGGUGGGAAAAAGAGGAAAGAAACAGACACCACGGCAGAAACAGCUGCCACAGGCAGCCGUUCAUCCAGGCACGAUGAGCAUCAUGGAGAAAAUCAAGUUCAGAGCCGAGACCAUUCUGGAAGGAGACUCUCAACCAACCGUCGAC
This is a long non-coding RNA of Betta splendens (Siamese fighting fish), 6771 nucleotides long. RefSeq lists it as uncharacterized. The record is from RefSeq and is a predicted model, not a curated record. The transcript is spliced from 3 exons. NCBI's taxonomy places the organism in Eukaryota, Metazoa, Chordata, Actinopteri, Anabantiformes, Osphronemidae.